Lepidothrix coronata (blue-crowned manakin) is the source of this 775-nucleotide long non-coding RNA. RefSeq lists it as uncharacterized. NCBI's taxonomy places the organism in Eukaryota, Metazoa, Chordata, Aves, Passeriformes, Pipridae. The record is from RefSeq and is a predicted model, not a curated record. The transcript has 3 exons.
UAAUGGUUUUGAGUUUAGGCCUUCCUUCCUGGUCGCCAGGAAGGAAGGAAGGAAGUAUUCCAUCCUAUUCCUUUACGUAAUCCAAACAUAUAAAUAGACAGAGAGAGAAGCCUCUUCCUCUCUUCCCUUCCGGCGAGGUUUGGAGACAGCAGAUUCCCCACAGCCGGUCUCGUUUCUGUGGGGGAGCUGGGGCCUGGCUGGGCCUACGGGGCCUGUUGUUCCUGCUGAUCUGGAGUCCGAUAGUGUGGUUGGCGGUGUUUGGGCGACUGUGCUAUCCCAAGGAAAGUAGUAAAACUCAGAACCUUAUCAAGUAAGGAAUACAGAAGCAGUGGUUUUAACAGACAUCCAAUUCAAUCCAGUUUUGGCUUUAAUUUAAGAGUAAAACACAGAAGAAAAUGAAGGCCAGGCAGUGGAGAAGCCAUGACCUAUCUCUGAAAAGAGCAGUGGAAAUCCAAAAGAGAAGAGGUUGGGGUAAAGUAUGGGUAUUCUAUUUUAGACUGAUUUUGCGGCCUGCAGAGACUGAAGAGAACUUUCUGAGAAUAGGAAAUAAAAGGUAAUGAUGGCUCACAGAGGUGAGAAAUAGGAUUCAAAAUCUGAACACACACAAAUGAUAAGCAGGGAGAACAAAACCAAGAUGAUUUCAGGAAAUGACAUACUGGUUUUGCAAAUAGAGUAAAAAGGGCUUUUCUUCUUUAAUUUAUAUUGCCACCAUUUUUUUAACUGUCGAUAGCCGACCAAGAAAUAGUAAAGAUUCUAAAACUAUGACUACAUUUCC